This is a non-coding RNA of Mycena alexandri, 129 nucleotides long. The record is from the annotation of a GenBank genome assembly. NCBI's taxonomy places the organism in Eukaryota, Fungi, Basidiomycota, Agaricomycetes, Agaricales, Mycenaceae.
GCCUUGAUGGUGUAGUUGGUAACACCUUGGUUUGUUGUUCUUCGAGUAGCCACUGGCUGCUUGGGGAAUUCCUCGUGAAUUCCAUAAUGAAAAACGCCGAAGCCCCUCGUUCGAAUCGAGGUCAAGUCA